CCUGCCGGCGACCGGCGCACGGGUGAGUAACACGUAUGCAACCUGGCCGCCACAGGGGGAUAACCCGCGGAAACGCGGCCUAAUACCCCGUGACGCCACCGGAGGGCAUCCUCCGGUGGCCAAAGGAGCGAUCCGGUGGCGGAUGGGCAUGCGGCGCAUUAGCUAGACGGCGGGGUGACGGCCCACCGUGGCGACGAUGCGUAGGGGUUCUGAGAGGAAGGCCCCCCACACUGGGACUGAGACACGGCCCAGACUCCUACGGAAGGCAGCAG
Molecule: ribosomal RNA, 272 nt
Filed under: uncultured bacterium
Lineage: Bacteria
Description: partial 16S ribosomal RNA
Rfam family: Bacterial small subunit ribosomal RNA
Source: RNAcentral